Molecule: long non-coding RNA, 1527 nt
Organism: Neogale vison (American mink)
Lineage: Eukaryota; Metazoa; Chordata; Mammalia; Carnivora; Mustelidae
Exons: 3
Source: RefSeq, a predicted model, not a curated record
AAAAACAAUGGAUUCUGUUACGCUGAAAAUAAAUAAAUUAAAAAACAAAAACAAAAACCAGGAGACGUGUUAAAGCGCAGUGCUCAGGGUGUGGGGCUGUUUCUGCGGUGGGUGUAGGGACCUCGCAGUGUUGCCGUGGACGGCGGGUGGUUGUGCUCCACUGAGAUGCGGUGCGCCGAGUGGUAACUCACACCGGGGAGCAGAGUGGAGUUCGUGGCAGCAAGUUACUAGGAGGAAACGUGAGGUUUAGGGUUGGUGAGAAGAGUGACCUGAUAGGUUUCUUGCUGAAGUCCGUCCGGGAUUGUGGGUUCGUGCAGAGUAAGGACUGCCCGGAUACUGUGGGGCCUGAGGACAGGCUCUCCGAAAUGUACAGUGACAUUGGUUGUUUUAAGUAAGAAUUACUUAAGAGACAGCCCAUGCCAGAAGGACACCCAGAUUUUCCUCUUCCUCUCUGAGGCACGAAGUAAAUCCGCCAUGUGGAAGGCUGGUGUACAAAGGAAGUGGAUUCAGAUUCUGAGCCAGCAGAGCCUGCACAGACUUCGUUCAAACCGUGAACCGGGUUGACGGCCCCUCCACGCACAUUGUACAUCUGAUUUGUGAAGAGUCACACCUAAGGGAAAACCGACUUGUCCUUGAGAUGCCCAUCAAUGCCCCCUGCAUUCCUACAUGCUAACCCUAACCCUAAAACUCAUGAUUCCUGCCAGUAUGUUAACCUGUAAGCUUUUGAGUUUUUACAAGAUGUGAAAAGUUUAUAAUGCUCUGGAGCACGUUUUCUGUUAAGAGCACGUUUCCUGGUCAGCUGGAGUGAAACUCUCUUUCUUCUCAGGUGUGUUUGCUUUGCAUCAGCAUUUCCUGUUGUAGUCAGCAGGAUUCAGAGCUCUGUGGGAAGAGCCGCGUGUUGUCUGGCAACUGGCGCUCGGUCCCCGCCCAGGACCUCUGUGCCGGUCCAGCUUCUCAGCACCUUAUGGGCGUGUUGCGUGAGUUCUCACUGAUAUCCCGACCUCCUCAGCUAGCGGUGACGGGCUUGAUGUUCAUUCCAGUUGUUGAAGCGUGCUGGUAAUGUUCGUUCUUUUUCUUUUCUUCAAAGAUUUACUUAUUCAUUUUAGAGAAUGAAAGAGUGUGAGCAGGGGGUGAGGGAGACAGUCUCAAGCAGAUUCCCAUCUGAGUGCGGAGCCGAAUGUGGGCAGAUCCUACCCUGAGAUCGUGACCUGAGCUGGAGCCAGGAGUCAGAUGCCCAACAGACUGAGUCCCCCCAGAUGCAACACUGGGUCAGGGCCUGCCCACUGACUGGGGAGCUGGCCGAAUGCAGCACCUGGGAGCCCAUGGUGUGGCCAGUUUGCAGGAUUCAUGACUCUGCGCAGAAAAGCAGUGCUGGAUCUGGAGAUCCAGAUAGUUUCUUACAUCUCAGGCUGACUUCAUGGGUGUUCAAAAUGGUUUGAUAGCUAUCCAGCUAAAUUCAGGGGAACAGUUUAAAUGGGGUCCUCUAGUCCUCCACCAUCUUGCCUGCUCCUACAGACCUUUUUUUUU